This 429-nucleotide ribosomal RNA is filed under the name Verrucomicrobiota bacterium. RNAcentral's name for it is "Verrucomicrobia bacterium partial 16S ribosomal RNA". It matches the Rfam family "Bacterial small subunit ribosomal RNA", at positions 355 to 776 of the family's 1533-position model. Lineage: Bacteria; Pseudomonadati; Verrucomicrobiota. The record is from RNAcentral.
UGGGGAAUCUUCCGCAAUGGACGAAAGUCUGACGGAGCAACGCCGCGUGAGUGAUGACGGUCUUCGGAUUGUAAAGCUCUGUUAAUCGGGACGAAUGGUUUGUGUGCAAAUAGUGCAUAGACAUGACGGUACCGGAAUAGAAAGCCACGGCUAACUACGUGCCAGCAGCCGCGGUAAUACGUAGGUGGCAAGCGUUGUCCGGAAUUAUUGGGCGUAAAGCGCGCGCAGGCGGACUAGCCAGUCAGUCUUAAAAGUUCGGGGCUUAACCCCGUGAUGGGAUUGAAACUACUAGUCUAGAGUAUCGGAGAGGAGAGUGGAAUUCCUAGUGUAGCGGUGAAAUGCGUAGAUAUUAGGAAGAACACCAGUGGCGAAGGCGACUUUCUGGACGAACACUGACGCUGAGGCGCGAAAGCCAGGGGAGCGAACGGG